CACCAUUUAUGUCUUAAAUCAUUAUGACAUGCCUAGCUAUUAAAAAGGGGCUAGUGAAUGAGGUAACUUGCGAGUGAAGCAAGGGAAAAAUGAAUGAUCAAUGAGGAUCAAGAUGAUUAUGUGAGAUGCGGAGGAUGGUGGUGGAAGUGCUUGUUAAGCCAUGGGCCGAAAGGCUGUAAUUGCUAAUGAAACGGCUGGUUAUGGAUUUAACCGUGAGCCGGAAAGGCUGUGUAUAAUAUGAAUAUUGGCUGGUUCUGGACUGAACCGUGAGCCGGAUGGCUGAUAUGGAUGUUGAUCCAUGGAUGAGAAUUCAUGCAUGCUUAUGCUGAAUUAUUGAUAAUUGAGAUUUGCACUUCCACUAUCAGAGGCACGAGAUCCCUGGGAGGAAGCAGUGGCUAGCCACCACGUGCUCCAGGN
RNAcentral lists this long non-coding RNA (417 nucleotides) under Arachis ipaensis. Its description in RNAcentral is "long non-coding RNA (AIPA_LNC000988)". The record is from RNAcentral. Lineage: Eukaryota; Viridiplantae; Streptophyta; Magnoliopsida; Fabales; Fabaceae.